GGGGAGUGACGUCAAGUCCUCAUGGCCUUUAUCGUCUAGGGCUACACACGUACUACAAUGGCAGGUACAAAGGGCAGCGACACAGCGAUGUGAUGCGAAUCCCGAAAAAGCCUGUCUCAGUCCGGAUCGGAGUCUGCAACUCGACUCCGUGAAGUUGGAAUCGCUAGUAAUCGUGGAUCAGCAUGCCACGGUGAAUACGUUCCCGGGCCUU
RNAcentral lists this ribosomal RNA (211 nucleotides) under uncultured Desulfobulbus sp. RNAcentral's name for it is "partial 16S ribosomal RNA". It matches the Rfam family "Bacterial small subunit ribosomal RNA", at positions 1174 to 1382 of the family's 1533-position model. Lineage: Bacteria; Pseudomonadati; Thermodesulfobacteriota; Desulfobulbia; Desulfobulbales; Desulfobulbaceae. The record is from RNAcentral.